This 279-nucleotide ribosomal RNA is filed under the name uncultured bacterium. RNAcentral describes it as "partial 16S ribosomal RNA". It matches the Rfam family "Bacterial small subunit ribosomal RNA", at positions 506 to 784 of the family's 1533-position model. The record is from RNAcentral.
UGCCAGCAGCCGCGGUAAGACGGAGGGGGCUAGCGUUGUUCAGAAUUACUGGGCGUAAAGCGCGCGUAGGCGGCCUGUCGAGUCGGGCGUGAAAUCCCAGGGCUCAACCUUGGAACUGCAUUUUUAACUGCCGAGCUAGAGUAUGUCAGAGGGGGGUAGAAUUCCACGUGUAGCAGUGAAAUGCGUAGAUAUGUGGAGGAAUACCGAUGGCGAAGGCAGCCCCCUGGGAUAAUACUGACGCUCAGACACGAAAGCGUGGGGAGCAAACAGGAUUAGAUA